AUGGAGCUGAUGGCUACGUCGUGCUUCAAGGAGGUGUUCACAAAGGAUCCGACCCUGGCACCAGAGUCAGUCCUUGAGAAUAUACUACCCAAAGUUUCCCAAGAGAUGAACGACAUGCCAUGUGCACCGUUUUCUGAGGAGGAGGUGGCCAAUGCACUCUUCCAAAUAGGUCCGUUGAAGGCACCAGGCACAGAUGGUUUUCCGGCUCGGUUCUAUCAACGCAACUGGGCGGUCUUGAAAAAUGAAAUCACGGCGGUGGUGUUGGAGUUCUUCAAAUCAGGAAUCAUGCCAGAGGGCGUGAAUGAUACUGCUAUUGUGCUGAUUCCAAAAGUGCCUUUCCCUAAAGAACUUAAGGAGUUUCGUCCAAUAAGUUUGUGCAAUGUGAUUUACAAAAUUGUGUCCAAGUGCUUGGUUAAUCGCCUCCGUCCUUUAUUGGCGGACCUUAUCUCUAAGAACCAAAGUGCCUUCAUUCCCGGGAGGCUGAUUUCUGAUAAUUCUAUCAUAGCGUUUGAAUGCAUUCAUCAUAUUCAAUCCAUUAAGCAAAAUAGUCAUGCGGCAUGUUCUUACAAGCUUGACCUUUCGAAGGCUUAUGACCAUGUGGAUUGGGAUUUUCUCGAGAAGGCCCUAGUUAAGUGGGGUUUUUCUGGUGUCUGGAUAGGCUGGAUCAUGGCAUGCGUUAAAUCGGUAAAAUAUUCGGUGAAGCUCAACGGAAAAUUACUUGAGGUGUUCUCCCCUUCGCGGGGCUUGCGACAAGGUGAUCCAUUGUCUCCUUUCCUUUUCCUAUUUGGCGCUGAUGCUUUGUCUGCUCUUAUUUCCAAGUCUGUCGCGGAUGGUGACUUGCGGGGUGUGAGUAUUUGUCGGGGUGCACCAAUUAUAUCCCACUUUCUUUUUGCGGACGACACAAUGUUGCUCUUCGAGGCAUCUGGCCAGCAAGCUAGCAUUGUCAAAGGUUUGUUGAACACUUAUACUGCAGCAACGGGUCAACUUAUUAACCCAGAGAAGUGUUCCAUCCUGUUUUCGGACAAUUGUAACGCGGCGGUGGUGGAUGAGGUGAAGGGCCUUUUGGACAUAACACAGCAAGUGUACUUGGGGUUACCGGUACCUGAGGGGAGAAUGCAUAAAGGGAGUUUUGAAACACUCCAGGAGCGUUUGAGGAAGAGAUUAAUAGAUUGGAGCGAACAUUAUAUGUCUGUGGGCAAUAAAGAAAUUCUCAUCAAAGCAGUGGCACAGGCCAUUCCCACAUAUGUUAUGAGCGUCUUCAAGUUGCCUGCCUCUGUAUGUGAUGAGUUAACACGGAUGACGAGACAGUACUGGUGGGGGUGGAGAAUGGUAAAAGGAAGAUGGCAUGGCUCAGUUGGGAGAAAAUGA
RNAcentral lists this ribosomal RNA (1368 nucleotides) under Triticum aestivum (bread wheat). RNAcentral's name for it is "partial small subunit ribosomal RNA". The record is from RNAcentral. Lineage: Eukaryota; Viridiplantae; Streptophyta; Magnoliopsida; Poales; Poaceae.